GCUUUAAAACCUAAAGAUUAACCGCUCAACAACAAAAGACUCCUCACGCUACAUCCUUACCGCUUCACAUACACAACCGCCUCUUCCCACAUGCCACAACCAUAGUUUUCUCCCCACAGGGAUUUGUUACUCACUGUUCCCCUACUUAUCUCACUUUUCAUACUCUAUCGAUUCAUCUGUAAUCUUUCAUCUCUAUUUUUAAUUUCCUUCAGCAACUUCUCGCUACCUUGACCUUUGUUAAAAUUCUUCAAACGAAACUCUCUCUAACUUCUUUGUUCUAUUUAUUUUUUUAGGGGAAAGGAAACUCUGGUUUAUUCACUACUAACCUCUAGGUUUUUCCCUCGCCACGGUUUUCCUCACCAAAUGCCAAUGAAGUCUAGAAAACAAAAUAUACUUUCACCCACUGUUUGUAAUCCUUUCAAAGCUAAUCUUUACCAUUUAUGCCAUUUUCUUAUUCUUCUAAAAUUGUUUACAUCCUAAUCUUACUGUAUAGGUAUGGAAAACCAAAGAUUGGGGUGCCAAAAUACCGUGAAGAGAUUGAGGUACGUCCAAAACUUCUUCACUACUAUACUUUUUGCACAAUUCAUAACCAUUGGUGUGAAUAUUCUGGAAUACUCUAAUUUUCUUCCAAAAUCAAUAACUAAGGAUGUAAACAUUAUGUUAAGAUUCUAAAACACAUUAAACUUUGUAAAAAAACAAAUAUUAUUCACUACUAUAUGAUUUUAACACAAUAUAACUAAUGUUUAAAUAUUAUGAAAUACUAUAAUUAUUUACCUCAUUACUGCUUUUUACUUGGAAGCAAAGUUCGACAACAAUGUCUUUAAAUGUUGAUUAUAUAUAUAGAUUAUUCCUACAUUAAUAUUACUAUAUUUGGCCUGCACAUUUCCUUUGCGUUCUGAUUGAAGUCCGAAAUAUGCAUUUAACAAAGCGACAAAAGCAAAAUGAUCAGAAACAUAUUUUUUCCAGAGCAAUAUUGUAAAACCAGAAAAUCUAUUCUGCAAUUUUCUUAUAUCUUGCUCUUUUCCUAUAUUCAAAAGACAUGCCUCUUUUUAAUCCUAAGUCAUGCCUCCUACUCGAUCUUCUUAUUUCUCUUCCUACAAAACUCACUCCUUCUACAGUAAUAUCUAUAAAUGUUAUUUUUUCGCGCUUAUAGUGGAUAACAACUGGAUGAAUCCUGAUAUCUUUAGACUAACUAAGGGGGAAAAGAGAGGUCACGCCUUCAAUAAUGAUAUCUAUAAAUAUUGUUUACAUAUAGUUUAGUAUUAUGGUGUUUAGACUGUACUAGAUUUUUAUUGUAGCCUUAUAUUUUGGUACUGCAUAGUUGUUCAACUUUCUGUUACUUCUCUUUGUCUAAAAAUCACGCAUUCCAUAAUAAUAUGUAUAAAUAUUUUUUAUAUAUAGUUUACUGAUAUGAAGUUUAAAUUGCCUUAACUUUUUAUCGUAGCCUCAGAAAAUGAUAUUGGAUUGUAGUUCAACUUCCUCCUCUAUUAGCAUUUCUUUUUCUACACUUUUAUGCUCUGCUUGCAGCGAAAUAUAUCAUGCAAUUAUCAAAGGUAAAUUUUUAUGCAUGCUGCAUUGCAUUUGUCAAUGUAACAAGUGCAACUAAAGAACUUGAAGUCUCCAUAUAUUUGAUGUAUCGAAAUAUCUCACAAAUGUGGAUUGAAUAUUUGAAAAAUAAACAAGUACAACUAUCAAUAAUGCAAAGAUUGACUUUCAAUAUAUUUGCGUAUGUAAAAAUAUUAUAUAUAUUAUUGCAUUUAUGACUUGUGAAUUACAUUAUUGUAGAUAAAUAGUUUAUAAUGUACUUUUCUGGACUCGUCAUUAGGUCAUCAUCCUCAGAAAAAUUUAUUCCACAUACAAUAUGUUAUUUUCAAGGUUGAAGUGAAGAUUUUCAGACUAUUAUGAGUGCAAAUUGGAUAUCCUUCUCUCAAAUAAUUUGCCAAAGUUGUUAUCAACAUCUAAAGACAACGCAAACCCGAUCAUUACAUAUGAUAUUGUGGAGUAAGGAACUUUACAAAGCGAAUAUUGUGACUUACUCUUGCAAUAACUUAUUACGAUUACAAUUGUUUGGUUAUCUUAUGUCAAGGGCUAUAUAUGGAGUAGAAAGAACAACUAUUUAAUCCGGUAUAUAAUAUUUUCACUGUAUGCAAGUCCAUUUCAUUCUAACUAUGUGUCUUAAAUAAACUAAGGUUAUCAAAAGUACUUUUACAAAUUAAAGUAUGUUGCCAUGUGUUUGCAGAUUCGAUUUAUUUAGCACUCAGUUAGUUCAAAUGGUAAACAACUUAAUGUUCACGGUUUGCAGGUUAGGACUUAUUUAUAGUCGUUGUUUAUAUAAAUCCAGAUAGAAACUUGCAUUUUGUAGUUAAUCUUAUGUUGCUCCUCUACCUUCCUCUCUUCCUAUUAUUUUUCAUAUAGCUGCUUUUCGGUUUAAAUAUGUAUUGCUACGUAGUAAAACAUUGUUCAAUAAUUCAUUUUUUUUGUUGUCUAAUUGAUGCCUAUAUGACACGAAAUGUAGUGGGGUGAUAGAAUUCGAGGGUCCACCAAACUAUAUAGAGAACCAUGUUCUCUAUUAGUUUUCACAGAUUACGCACACACAACAGUAAGUAAAUGACACUGAAAGUUUUUACGUGGAAAAUUACCAGUUCACGGGAUUAAAAACCACGACCUACCCAUAUAGGAUUUCAACUUCACUACUGAACAAACUUUUAGAUUACAACCUAUUGUAACCUAGGAAUUAACUUCUUAAUCGCUCACUAACUUGUAACAAUCCUAUUACAAGCCACUUUGUAUUACCUCUACUACAAAGACUUUACAACUCGACUAACUCUAGCUAAGACACAAACGCAAAGGUUUAUGAUUUACAAAAGGGUUUCCUACACAAUGAUUCUAAGUAAGCUAAGUAGGAAUUUCAAGUAAGAACUUUGACAAAGGUACAACUCAACUAAGGACAUAUAAUAACUUGAUAUGGGGAACUGGUCUGUAGCAGUGUUGUUCUUUGUUCUUGAUGCACUUGAGAAUCAUUUUCUGGAUGAUCAAUCACUGUGGGAGUGCUUGAGUGAAUUCUCCAAGUGUUCAAGUGAUGUUUUGUCUUUGGUUUAAUAUUAAUAUAACAUUGAUGACAUCACUUGAAUGAUGUAAGCAACUUGGGUGCAAGAUCUUUCCCAAUGCAGUUGAUUGCUGCAUUGUGUUGUAUUGUUGCGUAUGCAUGCAACCACUUUUUAGCUGUUGGAGGGUUGACUGGUAUGAUCACCAAGGGAACUGAUGUCCAUCUGUUCCCCUUAUUGAUUCUUGUGGGAGUGCUCGAGUGAAUUCUCUAAGUGUUCAAGUGAUGUUUUGUCUUUGGUUUAAUGUUAAUAUAACAUUGAUGGCAUCACUUGAAUGAUGUAAGCAACUUGGGUACAAGAUCCUUCCCAAUGCAGUUGACUGUUGCACUGUGUUGUACUGUUGCGUGUGCAGGCAGCCACUUUUCAGCUGUUGGAGUUGACUGGUACGAUCACCAGGGGAACUGAUGUCCAUUUGUUCCCCUUGUUGAUUCUUUAGCUUCUGAAAGACUGAUGAACCUCUCAAGCUUAAGUCUGGUUAUUUCCGCAUACUUGAGAAUGUGUAUCAUGUUCCUUAUAAUUGAAAUGCCAACGAAGAACCAUAAUGAACCAGAAAUGGCAAUGCCUAACCUUGAAUUCCCCCUAAAUUUGUGUUCCUCCUCAAUCAAUGCACAUCAUUUAUUCAAUUAUGCAUAUUCUUCCCCCUUUCGGCAUCAUAAAAAGAAGAAAAACAAGUAAAAGCAAAAAUAAGUUCAGUGUGGUUAACUCAUGCCACAUGUGUGCACACAAAUAUAAUAGAAGACAGGGACAUAAGAGUAAUGUAUACACAACAAAAAGGGAAAAACUUUCUUUAAACAAUUUGGAUUUUACGACAGGAGCAGUUUCAAUGUUGCCAGCAACCAUCCACAAUUCAAAACAAAAAAAAAACAAGUACCAACGAUAAAAGAUCAUUAGAAAAGUCAUAAAAAUCGGACACUUAAAACUUGACACUGGAAGGGACACUAUUUAGGGAGAACUAGAGGAAGAGGGCUUAGAGGAGGGGCAAGGGUUUUGAGGACUAGAACAAUUCAAGCAUUCGCCGAUAUUUGCUCAUUGAGAAGUCUUUGUUUCAGGUCCUCCACUUGUUUCUUGAGCUCAACAUUCUCCUUAGUCAAACGGGCAGCCUUUGAGCUUUGAGAACUACUGUAACCAUGUGCCUCCUAAAGCUGACUGAGCUGACCCUCAAGAAUAGCAUUUCUUGCUUUUAACUUCCUGAUCUCCUCUGUAGCACUGUUCUAAGCGUUGAUCAAUUGAGAAAUGGUAGAAGUGCUUCCAACUCCUCCAACUUUAUCAAAUGCACUCAUAUUCUUCGAGAGUGGUCUUGGAGAAAGUUUGCUUCCUAGUUCCCACUUUAGCUUAUCCCAGAGGGACCUUGAAGAACUCAAAAACCUUGGUGAGAAGGAACCCAUAAGGCAGCCCAUGGUUACCAUCUUUGAACUCUGCCAUUUUUUGCAUGUGUUCAAUCAUAAUCCCAUGCAGGUUAAUGGUAGUGAAGCCAUCCAGCGCUUCCAUGAGAACCAUGUUGGCUCUAGAGGUAAUGGAUCUUCUCUCAGCUCGGGGAAGCACCACUUUAUUCACCAUCUCAAACAUCAAUUGGUACAUUGGAAGGAGAGCCUUCUUGUGCACACGUUCACCCUGCUGGAUUGCCUUGUCCUUAACAAUAGCAUUUCUAAAAUUGGAAGAGCGUGAUCCUUGGAUUGAUGACAACCCUUCAGCAGGCACACCCAAAAUCGACCCCAACAAAGUAGAGUCCAUCACAAUGUCAACCCCAUUCACCAGUACGCAGAUGUGAUCAUCCUCAACUUUGAAGAAGUCGGCAUAAAAGCUUUGUACUUCAUCCUCACAACUUUUGGAGCAUCAUUUGUAAACAAGUAUGUCCAUUGCUGGAAUUCACAGAUUUCAACCAAUUGCCGCACUCCGGCCAGCUCCAAAAUGUCAGGGGCAAAUGUGCGGCCCCAUUGUACCUUCCGAUUCCUCAAUUUUUCUUUCCCAGCACUCUGGGAUUCAUCAACUUUGGCUUUCUUGGAGGAACCGGGUUCCUCUUCGACAUCAACUUUCCUUUUCACAUGCUUGCGAGCAGUUUUUCCCUUCUCAACGGACUUUGCAGACACUAUUUUCUCAGACACAUUUUCACCAGAAUCUUCCAUCACCUUAUUACCAGAUGUUUCACCACCUUCUUCUACUAUCUUGUCGCAAGAUUCUUCCACCAAAUUGUCACUAGAGAUAACAUCAUCACUCUUGUUUGGACUCUCAAUACUCAUAGAAAAUUUCUUUUUAGACUUGGAGAAAGAGUGCUUCUGUGAGCGCUUGUGAGUCAAGGAACCAGGUUCCUCGUCCACUUCAUCAUCCAUAGUGACAACAUGCACUACAUUUUCAUGUACAACCUUCCCAUCCUUCACCAAUUUCCUCCUCCUUUGAUUGACUUGACUUUUCUUAAGAGCGGACUCAAGAGCCUCCUUCUUUUGCAAUCUUGUAGUGGGUCGCUUAGGAGUUGGCUCUAAAGUAGAAACCGGUCUAAGCCUAGCCGGAUAAAGCUAGCAAUAGCUAUAUCAUCGAAAUCCUAUUCAUUAUCCCCAUUCUCUUCACCAGAUACAGAUCUCAUCUCAGGCACCACCACAUACAGAGGCUCAGCAUAAACAUAAGGAGAGAGAGUAGGGUCAAUACUGACCUGGGGCUCUUGAGAGGACCCCUGAGUUGGAUCCUCCGAGGAGGGAUCAGGUCCUUCAUUAGGUACCCAGUAGUAUUGUCCUAUGUUGAUUGUUCAACAGGCACAAGCUCUCUACCUUCUACCAAGGUCUUAGGCUCUUCCCCGUAAGGCUCAGACCCAUCCUCACCUCCUUCGAUAAUAACCCCUUCAGCCACUAUAGAUGGCAUAUUUUCCAUUGUUUUUUUCUCUUGUAACUCCAUGAAAAAUGCAGGAGAAGGAGGAGUGUUACCUGUGGACUCAAGAAUAGGAACUGUCUUUGUUGAUUCAGCAUUCUUAGGACCAGCAGUUUGGUCUACAUUUGAGCCUUCUUCCAUAGGAAGACUGGAGAUCUCCUGAUUUUCCUCUUCAUCAACUGUACCCUUUUCACCCAGUUUUUCCGGUGAGGCGGGAUGAGAGCUCGUAGCCACAAACCUUUUAGGAGUCGAGGUUUUGCGGCUCUGAUGAGAAACAGAACUCGAUUGGGUAAGAGAGGAGACUGAGUGUAGUGGUGACUCUGUCCUAGGGUUUUAGUUAGUUGUGGAGUUGAGUGAGGAGUCUAACAUCGGUGUUUUAACUGGUAGAGACUCAAUGGGGGUGUUACUUGAAACACCUGAGGCUUCUUGAUUUUCAGUUAUGGUGAGAAGUGAUGAGUUUAAGAGGAGGUAUUGGGAGUUUGAAGAGAGAAAGAAGAAUUUUUUUUUUGAAGUUUGAUGUGAGGAGUUGUGACAGUGAUGGAUGUAUUUAAGAUGGAUGAGGGACCGGUUAAGAAAAUGCGACAAUUUUAGGAAACGGGUCGCUUACCAAUGGGAGAGACCUUUGGGUUCAAAAGACACAAAGAAAAGAAACUGACACACUGAUGAUGUGGCACUGUUUUAUCUGUUCAAAAUUGUGCAUGAGAGAACAGAGAAACUACUAACCUGUGUUAGGAGAACCAGGUUUCCUGGCGGAUCUUGCAAGUGUAAGGUUUACCCUUUUUACCAGCAUGCACUGCAUCAACUGCUCUGUAAUAAUUAUGCGUGUGUACCUAUAACGGUAUAAGAUGAGUUAGACUUUGCCAGAAAAUACUUUUUAGCUAAUUUUACCUGUACAUUUCUUUUGUAGCCAAUCAUUGAGGGACCAGGUUCUCAGUUGGGUUUUAUCAACCCCAGUGUCGGGCGAUUUCUUUCAAAAUGUUCUCUGCUCAAGGCUUUGGUGAAUAUGUCUGCAAUCUGAUCUUCUGUGCUGCAGAAUUUCAUACAGAUGAGCCCUUUUUCAAUAUUGUCUCUGAGGAAGUGGUGACGCACAUCAAUGUGCUUGGUUCUCUUAUGUUGGACUGGAUUUGGCCAUGUUGAGUGCACUUGUAUUGUCGCACAGGAGGGGCACACAGUCAGAGAACACUCCAAAGUCUUCCAACUACUGUUUGAUCCAUAACAAUUGAGCACAUCAAGAAGUACCUGCUAUAUAUUUCGCUUCUGCAGUUGAGAGUGCCACUGAGUUUUGCUUCCUUGUACCCCAUAAGAUUAGACAGGAACCCAGAAAAUGUGCCAUUCGAGACGUGAUUUUCCUAUCCACCAGAUAUCUUGCAUAAUCAGCAUCAACAUACCCAACAAGAUCAAAGUUGUCUCCUGAGGGAUAGUAGAGAACCAGGUCUUGUGUUUCUUUGAGAUAUCUCAAUAUUCUUUUGGUAGCCUUCAAAUGAGAUUCCUUUCGAUUAGACUGAAACCUUGCAUAGAGACACACGCUGAACACAAUGUCUGGUAUGCUUGUAGUGAGAUAUAAUAGCGACCCUAUAAUACCUCUAUACAUGGUCUGAUUUACAGGGGAGCCAUGUCCAUCCAUGUCUAGAUGAGUGGUUGUGGCAAUAUGAGUGUCAAUAACUUUUGAUGUUUCUAUGUCGAAUCUUUUUAGCAGCUCUUUGAUGUACUUAUGCUGACUUAUCAGUGUUCCCUUUUGAGAUUGCUUCAUCUGAAGUCCCAAGAAUAAACUUGAUUCUCCCAUCAUGCUCAUCUCAAACUCACUCCCCAUGAGUUUUGCAAAUUCUUCACAUAGAGAGUCGACUGUGGAUACAACGAUGAUAUCAUCAACAUAUACUUUCACAAUGAAUAGGUUCCUCCCUCGUUUCUUCUGAAAAAGAGUGUUGUCAAUUUUCCCUCUUGUAAAUCCAUUUUUUAGAAGAAACUUUGACAAUCUUUCAUACCAAUCCCGGGGAGCCUGCUUUAGCCCAUACAAUGCUCGUCCAGUUUGAACGCGCGCUCAGGAUGCUUGUGAUUCUCAAAUCUAGGUGGCUGCUUGACAUAAAAUUCUUCUUUUAGGAAGCCAUUCGAAAAUGCACUUUUGACAUCCAUUUGUAACAAUGUGAACUUCAUAUGAGAUGCAAAGACAAUAAGAAUUCUGAUAGCUUCCAUUCGAGCAACUGGAGAAAAAGUUUCAUCAUAGUCAAUCCCUUCUUCCUGGUUGUAGCCUUGAACUACAAGCCUUGCCUUGUUUCUUGUUGUAUUUCCAAACUCAUGGAGUUUGUUAUUGAAUACCUACCUGGUUCCUAUAAUAGUUCGAUCUGUAGGUCGAGGAACCAGGUGCCAUACCUUGUUCCUUUCAAAUUGAUGCAGCUCAUCUUGCAUGGCUGUGAUCCAAUCUACAUCUUUCAAUGCUUCUUUGAUAUCUUUGGGCUCUAUUUGAGAAAGAAAAACUGAGAAGGCAAGUGAGUUUCUAGUUUUUGACAUGGUUUGAAUUCCUGAGUCAAGAAGAAUGAUUAUGUUGUCAAGAGGGUGUGAAAUUUUGUGCUUCCAAUUUGGUACCUGAGCCUCAUUGGUAGAAAACCCAGGUAUAUCUGACUGAGGUUCUUGGCCGCUUCUUAUUUCUACAAGUGGAGUACCUUGUACUGCAUCGACAACUCUGUUUGCAGCUUCAGUUGUUGUGAUUGUGGGACCAGGUUCUUCUCCAAUGGAUGGAGAUGUAGUUGCAUCAUCUUCACUGGAUUCCUUGACAUGACUCAUCAUGUCUGCCUUUCUACUUUCCAUGUCAAUGACUUCACCUGGAACAUAUAAAGGUUCUCAAUCUUGAUCAUCAUGUAUGUCCUUCUCACAUGAGAGGUGAGAUUCAUCAAAGAUCACAUGUAUACUCUCCUCAACACAUUGAAUUCUUUUGUUGUAUACUGUGUAAGCUUGCUUUGGGACGAGUAUCCCAGAAAGAUUCCUUCAUCACUUUUGGCAUCAAAUUUUCCAAGAGCUUUCUUGCCAUUGUUGAGAAGAAAACAUUUGCAGUCGAAUGUCCUCAAAUGCGUCAGCUUGGGCUUUCUUCCAUUCAGCAACUCAUAAGGUGUUUUGUUUAUAAAGGACCGAUCAUGCACAUGUUUAUCAAGUAACAUGCAGUGUUGACUGCUUCUGCCCAGAAAGUUUUUGCAAUGCCACUGUCAAUUAGAAUUGUCCUUGCCAUAUCUUCAAGAGUCAUGUUCUUCCUCUCGACAACAACAUUUUGUUGUGGUGUUCUUGGAGUUGAGAAAUUAUGAGUAAUGCCAUUUUCGACACAGAAUUCAUCUAAUUUGGCAUUAUCAAUUUCUGUCCCAUGGUCAGAUCUGAUGCAAGCUACAUUACUUCCCAUCUUCACUUGUAUUUUCUUGACAAAUGCAACAAAUACUUAGAAGGUUUCAUCCUUGGUUCUGAGAAAUAGGGUCCAAGUGAAUCUGGAGUAGUCGUCCACUAUCACAAAGAUAUAUCUUUUUCCUCCUAUGUUUGGCACCCUCAUAGGUCCACAUAGAUCCAUAUGAAGUGCUAACUUCCUUUUUGAGCUUGAAUGAGGAUCUGACAUGCUUUCUUUUUGCACACGCAUCAAAUACCUUGUGUUCCUUGAAGCUUGACUUGGGCAGACCACGAACCAGGUCCUUUUGGACUAGCUUGUUCAGUAGUGGAAAGUUUUCAUGCCCCAUCCUUCUGUGCCAUAAUUCAGCAUCAUCAUCAAUAUCUCUUAAACAUUUGAGAUCACCACUCUCUUGGUCAAGACAUCUUUUUCUCAAGCUCUUAGACAACUGAGAUCGUCUCUUUCAAGCUCAGUGUUAGCAACUCUUUUGGUCAAGACAUCUUUUUCUUUUUCAACACUCUUAAUGGUUUCGUUCAAAUCAACCACCACUACUACUAGAUAAUCUCUCUCAAGUUCUAAGUUAGCAACUUUUUCAAUUAAAACUUCUUUCUCUUUCUUAGUACACUCAAUAAUCUCUUUUAAAUCAACCACAACAACUACUAGAUCAUCUCUUUCAUGUUCUACGUUUGCAAUUUUUUCAGUUAGGGCAUCUUUUUCUUCUUUCAAACUCUCAAUAGUUUCUUUCAAAUCUACCACAACGACUACUAGAUCAUCUCUAGAUUGUUCUGCUUCUCUUAAUUCCACAAUUAGAGAAUUUUUAUUAUUUAUAAGACUGUGGUAUGCAUCUAUUAAAACAUUUGCCAAAGACAUGAGUUUUUUUAGGAGAAUAAAAUUUCAGAUUUCUCUAAACAUCUAGAAAAUUUACCUCAUUAUCGUCGUCGUCAUCUCCAUCAUCAUCAGACUGAGCCAUCAAGGCAAAAUAGAGUCAUAUUUAGUUGCUUCACUUUUUACUGCCAUCAUUGAACUGUCACUAUGAUCAUUAUCUUCUUCAGAUUCGCUGGAGGAGUCUCCCCAUGCAUCAAGAGCUUGCUUCAAAACAUUGUCAUCGGUAUUCUUUCUCUUGAAAUGUUUAUUAGGAACCGAGUUCCUCUUAGCUGCUUUGUCUGUGUUGUGCUUGAAUUGAUCUUGCUUUAAGAGGGGACAGUCCUUGAUGAAGUGUCCUGGCUUGCCACAUUUAUGACAUAAGUCAUAUUUUUUUGUCUUGCUAUAACUGCCCCUUUUUGGAAUGCCUCCAUUUUUGCGAACCAUUUUCUGAAAUCUUCUUGUCAAGUAAGCCAUAUCACCAUCCUCACCACUUGAAUCAUUGUUGUAUGUCUUAAGGACCAGAUUCUUCUCUCUUUUGGGUUCUCUUCUUUCAUUGUCCUUCUUUUUCUUCAUUUCAUACGUUUUCAAAUUGCCAACAAGUUCAUCAAUGGUCAGCUUCUGCAAGUCCUUUGCCUCUGUGAUAACAUUCACUUUGCUUUCCUAGGAACUGGGCAGUACACUAAGUAUUUUCCUAACAAGUUUGUUUCUUGGAAGAAUUUCUCUAAGAGAGUGAGGCUCAUUAAUGAUAGAUGUAAAGCGAGUAUGCAUAUCUUGGAUGGAUUCACCAUCAUUCAUCCUGAAGAGCUCGUAUUCAGUUGUGAGUAUGUCGAUCUUGGAUUGCUUGACAUGUGUUGUUCCUUCAUGAGUUGUUUGGAGAGCUUUCCAGAUUGUUUUGGCUGACUGGCAUGCCGAUAUCCUGUUGUGUUCAUAAGGACCAAUACCAUAAACGAGAAUUUUCUUUGCACGGAAAUUCUUUUCUAUGGAUUUUCGGUCGGCGUCAUUGAAUUUUUUUCUUGUUUUGGGGAUGGUUAUAGUAGGAUCGCUACUGGUUUUUAUGGGAACGAAGGGUCCAUCACAGAUGACAUCCUAGAGCUCGAAAUCCUCAGCCAUGAUGAAGUCAUGCAUCCUGGUCUUCCACCAUCCAUAAUACUGGCCAUUGAACCUUGGUGGUCUGUAGGUACAUUAGCCUUCUUCAAAGUUUGGUGGAGCAACCAUGAGGAUCCUUUCUAGGUGUUCGCCUGAUAGAAAGAACCUGCUAUGAUACCAAUUGAUAGAAUUCUAAGGUCCACCAAACUAUAUAGAGAACCAGGUUCUCUAUUAGUUUCCAUAGAUUACGCACACACAACAGUAAGUAAAUGACACUGAAAAAUUUUACAUGGAAAAUUUUCAGCUCACGGGAUUAAAAACCACGACCUACUCUUGUAGGAUUUUAAUUUCAUUACUGAGAAAACUUUUAGAUUACAACCUAUUGUAACCUAGGAAUUAACUUCUUAAUCCCUCACUAACUUGUAACAAUCCUAUUACAAGUCACUUUGUAAUACCUCUAUUACAAAGACUUUACAACUCGACUAACUCUAGCUAAGACACAAACACAAAGGUUUAUGAUUUACAAAAGGGUUUCCUACACAGUGAUUCUAAGUAAGCUAAGUAGGAAUUUCAAGUAAGAACUUUGACAAAGGUACAACUCAACUAAGGACAUAUAAUAACUUGCUAUGGGGAACUGGUCUGUAGCAGUGUUGUUCUUUGUUCUUGAUGCACUUGAGAAUCGUUUUCUGGAUGAUCAAUCACUGUGGGAGUGCUUGAGUGAAUUCUCCAGGUGUUCAAGUGAUGUUUUAUCUUUGGUUUAAUGUUAAUAUAACAUUGCUAACAUCACUUAAAUGAUGUAAGCAACUUGGGUAUAAGAUCCUUCCCAAUGCAAUUGAUUGUUGCACUGUGUUGUACUGUUGCGUGUGCAGCCAGCCACUUUUUAGCUGUUAGAGGGUUGACUGGUACGAUCACCAGGAGAACUGAUGUCCAUAUGUUCCCCUUGUUGAUUAUUUAUCUUCUGAAAGACUAACGAACCUCUCAAGCUUAAGUCUGGUUAUUUCCACAUGCUUAAGAAUGUGUAUCAUGUUCCUUAUCUAGUUCUUGACAUUAAGUUUGUUAGAUCAUCAAAACAUAAAACAAGGUACUUAUAACCUAUCAUAGGAAAUUAGCCAUAUAUAAAGUGUAUUUGUAAAUGGAGGUCCUAUUCUUCUGAUGUUUAUUGUUGUCUAUUUUCAGGAAAAUAUGACACAAACUGCGUGAAGAGUAUGUCUUUGUUAUUGAAAAAGAAGUUCAUUACAUAUUUGUAGCAGCGUUAGACUAUAAGUUUAGAUUAAUUGAUUAUGUAAAAGUGAGGGUUAGAGAAAGAAGAAAGAAAAGGGUCGGAUGAAUAAGUACUCAAGUAAUGGAGAGAUACAUUUGAUUAAUUCUUUUCCUUUU
Molecule: long non-coding RNA, 12645 nt
Filed under: Nicotiana tabacum (common tobacco)
Lineage: Eukaryota; Viridiplantae; Streptophyta; Magnoliopsida; Solanales; Solanaceae
Description: long non-coding RNA (NTAB_LNC006068)
Source: RNAcentral